RNAcentral lists this ribosomal RNA (823 nucleotides) under uncultured bacterium. RNAcentral describes it as "bacterial SSU rRNA". It matches the Rfam family "Bacterial small subunit ribosomal RNA", at positions 28 to 883 of the family's 1533-position model. The record is from RNAcentral.
AAUCAACGCUGGCGGCGUGCCUAACACAUGCAAGUCGCACGAGAAAGUGGAGCAAUCCAUGAGUACAGUGGCGCACGGGUGAGUAACACGUGAAUCAUCUACCUCCGAGUGGGGAAUAACCUAGAGAAAUCUGGGCUAAUACCGCAUAACACUUACGAGUCAAAGCAGCAAUGCGCUUGGAGAGGAGUUCGCGGCAGAUUAGUUAGUUGGCGGGGUAAUGGCCCACCAAGACGAUGAUCUGUAUCCGGCCUGAGAGGGCGCACGGACACACUGGAACUGAAACACGGUCCAGACUCCUACGGGAGGCAGCAGUGGGGAAUUUUGCGCAAUGGGGGAAACCCUGACGCAGCAACGCCGCGUGGAGGAUGAAAUCCCUUGGGAUGUAAACUCCUUUCGAUCGGGACGAUUAUGACGGUACCGGAAGAAGAAGCCCCGGCUAACUUCGUGCCAGCAGCCGCGGUAAUACGAGGGGGGCAAGCGUUGUUCGGAAUUAUUGGGCGUAAAGGGCGCGUAGGCGGUUUGACAAGUCUGAUGUGAAAUCUCUGGGCUCAAUCCAGAGUCUGCAUUAGAAACUGUCGGGCUUGAGUAUGGGAGAGGUGAGUGGAAUUUCCGGUGUAGCGGUGAAAUGCGUAGAUAUCGGAAGGAACACCUGUGGCGAAAGCGGCUCACUGGACCAUAACUGACGCUGAGGCGCGAAAGCUAGGGGAGCAAACAGGAUUAGAUACCCUGGUAGUCCACGCCGUAAACGAUGUCAACUAGCCGUUGGGAGCCUUGAGCUCUUAGUGGCGCAGCUAACGCAUUAAGUUGACCGCCUGGGGAGUAC